RNAcentral lists this ribosomal RNA (433 nucleotides) under uncultured bacterium. RNAcentral describes it as "partial 16S ribosomal RNA". It matches the Rfam family "Bacterial small subunit ribosomal RNA", at positions 29 to 507 of the family's 1533-position model. The record is from RNAcentral.
AACGAACGCUGGCGGCAGGCCUAACACAUGCAAGUCGAGCGAGGACUUCGGUCCUAGCGGCGGACGGGUGAGUAACGCGUGGGAACGUGCCCUUUGCUUCGGAAUAGCCCCGGGAAACUGGGAGUAAUACCGGAUGAGCCCUUUGGGGGAAAGAUUUAUCGGCGAAGGAUCGGCCCGCGUUGGAUUAGGUAGUUGGUGGGGUAAUGGCCUACCAAGCCGACGAUCCAUAGCUGGUUUGAGAGGAUGAUCAGCCACACUGGGACUGAGACACGGCCCAGACUCCUACGGGAGGCAGCAGUGGGGAAUCUUAGACAAUGGGGGAAACCCUGAUCUAGCCAUGCCGCGUGAGCGAUGAAGGCCUUAGGGUUGUAAAGCUCUUUCAGCUGGGAAGAUAAUGACGGUACCAGCAGAAGAAGCCCCGGCUAACUCCGUG